AGGGAGACAACACAAUGAUUUUGAUGCCUGAGUACUUUUAUUCUUAGGCCGAAAUCCUGUCACCUUAGGUCGAUCGGUACCUCAGCUUUGAAGUCAAGGAUCAGCAGCAAUGUUGAUGGCUUGAUGGAGAUUUUCAGUUCCUAAACUUUGUCUAGGUCACACCCCAAAAGGGAUGAGACUCCUGGGCCAUUAGCUCAGGUGGUUAGAGCGCACCCCUGAUAAGGGUGAGGUCCCUGGUUCAAGUCCAGGAUGGCCCAUUCGGUGUUGGGGGUUUAGCUCAGUUGGUAGAGCGCCUGCUUUGCAAGCAGGAUGUCAGGAGUUCGAGUCUCCUAACCUCCACUGACCGAACUUGAUUCCCAUCUCCAAGUUGUUGGAGUUGAGCUCGAUUGGAGUGUGAUUUAGAUGUGUCCGCUGGAUGACCCCAGCUUCCUGUCAUUCCAAGUUUUAAGCUUAAGGCUUUGAAUUUGGUUGAUAAGAUGCUGGGCUCGGAUCGAAUGAUCAAGCAAUUGAUGAUUUGAUUUGAAGUUCUAGCAGAACCUUGACAACUGCAUAGGUGAAGUCUGGAAAAACAAAGCAUCUUACAGAUGCAUUGUUUUGAGUCUGAUCUUUCGAAAGAGAGAUUGGAUCCAGAACAAUGAAAAUUCUUUUGAGCAAGAGCCGAGACUCUUGAAUGUUCUUUGAUUCGUGUCGAGCGAAUCAGAGUUUGAUCUUGUUUUUAGCGAUAAAAACUUGAAAAUCUGCUUUCAACGGCGGUAAGCGUUCAAGAGGUUAAUU
RNAcentral lists this transfer RNA (774 nucleotides) under uncultured Synechococcus sp. RNAcentral's name for it is "16S-23S ribosomal RNA intergenic spacer". The stretch from base 267 to 339 matches the Rfam family "tRNA". The record is from RNAcentral. Lineage: Bacteria; Bacillati; Cyanobacteriota; Cyanophyceae; Synechococcales; Synechococcaceae.